This is a long non-coding RNA of Hevea brasiliensis (rubber tree), 1773 nucleotides long. RefSeq lists it as uncharacterized. NCBI's taxonomy places the organism in Eukaryota, Viridiplantae, Streptophyta, Magnoliopsida, Malpighiales, Euphorbiaceae. The transcript is spliced from 2 exons. The record is from RefSeq and is a predicted model, not a curated record.
CGGCUUCUCCUUGCUUGUGUCCAUUGAUUCCACUCACUGCCCCUCCAUGUCUUGUAAAAACCAGCUGGUAAUUCCUUCAUUUUUUGUAAAAAAAUGUGGCAUUUACAGCUGAUUAAAACCCAUUUUUUAAUGGCUUCUCACCACCCCAUUUUUAUAUAAUUAGAUUAAAGCUUUUGCAAUGCAAUGGCUUUGAUCUUGUCAAGUUGUGUUUUCCCAGUAACUCGCUCCAGUGGUGGAUAUCAAAAUGGAGUUAAUGCCAGUGAAAAAACAUGCCUCCCCCAGCAGACAGAAGGGUUAUAAAAAAGCUCAGAUUCUUUAAGAAGUGCCCUAGGAACAAAGGAUCGCUGUUCCACUCUAACUACGACAACUAUCUGAUAGUGAUAGGACCCUAGGGAGAGGGAGGCUCUCUGGCCACUGCAACCUCUCUCCUCUCUCUCUCUCUCAACCUUUUCUUGUAUUAGAUGAUGGAAUUUGAGCAUCCCAAUGUAAAGCCAAAAAGAGCUCAUGCCUAUGGAGACUGGCAGCUGUAGCUGUAGCAGCUUCUUUGAAAGACCCAAAAGAUUUGCUUUUUUUUCUUUCCCCGUCCAUUCUUGUUUCCCCACCUUCAAAAGUUGAGGCCUUUUUUUCGGUUGUUUUUAUUCUCACACCUGUGCUUCUUUGGCAAGUUACUGUUACUCUGCUUCUCUUUAUAAAGCCAGAGACUUUUUCCAGCCAACUUCCUAGUUCAUCAAGAUAUAUCUCUUUUUGGGUUUGAAUAUGGGUUUGAUUGGGGGAUUGGAAUGGAUGAAUAGUUUCAGUAAGAAGCAAUGCAAGAGCUUGUUUUGGAGAGUGAAGGCAGCAGUGAAGAAGGCCGUGAAGAAUGGAGGCAAACAGCAGGUCAAUUUCCAAUAUGAUCCUUCUAGUUAUGCUCUCAAUUUUGAUGAUGGUUGCUGCCACUUUGGUGGAGGAAGAAGAUAUGAAGUGAAACCUGGAAAGAGUCAGGAUGGCAAUAAGACUAUAUGGAUUUAUGUUCUGUGGGAAGAAUCUUAAGGGAUGGAAAGAAUAUUGGUUUUAUUUAUUUGGUAUUUCUGUUUUGCUUUUAGAUUGGGAUCUUUUGGUGGCAUUAAUUGCUACAUCUUUUCAUUGUAGGUUUGGUUGGGUUUUCAAUUGGUAAAGAGAAGCAGUUUGUCCAGGAAAAUGUCUUGUAGAAGCAACCAAUGUAGAUGGGGGCAUACAAGUACCCCAAAUCACCAGCUUGUAGCUGGGACAAAUGCAUACACAUCAGUGCAAAAGUUGGUCUCCUACUCUUCUUAGGUAAGUCGCUGAGGGAAGUGCUCCUUACUGGUCUGGUCUAGCAGAACUCUGCAGCAUUAAAUGAACAAUGGCACCAUAAUUCUUAAAAUGUACCUCCAAAUCCAAUCCUGCUCAGCCAACUCGAAUUAUUUAGCAACUUGGCCAAGCUAGUCCUAAAACUCAGCUGCUCCAUUUGCAACACCAACAACCUCCCCUGUUUCUCAAACCCUUUCAAAUUUUGCCAGCAGCUCCAAGCAAUUUAUGUCGAGGAUAUCUCUUUAUAUUGUUUUCGAUUAAGACCUUCCCUUUGGCUGGUCAAUUUUGUUGCACCAUUGAGUAAUGCUUAGGUUAUCAAAUUUACUACAGCCAUAGACCAGAAAGCAUCCACUUAAGCAGCAUGUCAGCUAUUUCUUCAGGAGAAGAAUUUGUACUAUUCUUUUCUUCGUUCCCAGUUCUAUCAAUGAUAUUUUUUAAAUAUUAUGAUAAUUAGCCUUCCAUUCA